Molecule: unclassified non-coding RNA, 148 nt
Organism: Papio anubis (olive baboon)
Lineage: Eukaryota; Metazoa; Chordata; Mammalia; Primates; Cercopithecidae
Rfam family: Metazoan signal recognition particle RNA
About the family: The signal recognition particle (SRP) is a universally conserved ribonucleoprotein. It is involved in the co-translational targeting of proteins to membranes.
Source: Ensembl
GCUGGGCGUGGUGGUGCGUGCCUGUAAUCCCAGCUACCCAGGAGGCUGAGGCAGGAGAAUCGCUUGAAUCUAGGAGGCCGAGGUUGCAGUGAGCUAAGAUUGUACCACUGCACUCCAGCCUGGGCUACAGAGUGAGACCCUGUCUCAA